ACGUAGGGGGCAAGCGUUGUUCGGAAUUACUGGGCGUAAAGGGCAUGUAGGCGGCCUUGUAAGCUUGGCGUGAAAGUCCACGGCUUAACCGUGGGAUUGCGUUGAGAACUGCGAGGCUUGAGUGACGGAGAGGGAGCUAGAAUUCCUGGUGUAGGAGUGGAAUCUGUAGAGAUCAGGAAGAAUACCAAUGGCGAAGGCAAGCUCCAGGCCGAUGACGGACGCUAAGGUGAGCAAGUGGGGCGAAGAAACAG
Molecule: ribosomal RNA, 251 nt
Filed under: uncultured prokaryote
Description: partial 16S rRNA
Rfam family: Bacterial small subunit ribosomal RNA
Source: RNAcentral